UACGGAGGAUGCAAGCGUUAUCCGGAUUUAUUGGGUUUAAAGGGUGCGUAGGCGGAUAUGUAAGUCAGCGGUGAAACUCACAGGCUCAACCUGUGCCGUGCCGUUGAAACUGUGUAUCUGGAAUGCGGAUGCUGUGGGAGGAAUGUGUAGUGUGGCGGUGAAAUGCAUAGAUAUUACACAGAACACCGAUUGCGAAGGCAUCUCACAAAGCCGUUAUUGACGCUGAGGCACGAAAGUGUGGGGAUCAAA
Molecule: ribosomal RNA, 249 nt
Filed under: uncultured prokaryote
Description: partial 16S ribosomal RNA
Rfam family: Bacterial small subunit ribosomal RNA
Source: RNAcentral